UACAUAGGGGGCGAGCGUUAUCCGGAAUUACUGGGCGUAAAGGGUGCGUAGGCGGUUUCUUAAGUCUAGUGUGAAAGCCCACGGCUUAACCGUGGAGGGUCAUUAGAAACUGGGAGACUUGAGUACAGCAGAGGUAAGUGGAAUUUCUAGUGGAGCGGUGAAAUGCGUAGAUAUUAGAAGGAACACCAGUGGCGAAGGCGGCUUACUGGGCUGGAACUGACGCUGAGGCACGAAAGCGUGGGGAGCAAACAGG
This 253-nucleotide ribosomal RNA is filed under the name uncultured bacterium. Its description in RNAcentral is "partial 16S ribosomal RNA". It matches the Rfam family "Bacterial small subunit ribosomal RNA", at positions 524 to 776 of the family's 1533-position model. The record is from RNAcentral.